GAUGAACGCUAGCGGCAGGCUUAAUACAUGCAAGUCGAGGGGCAGCAGGACUGUAGCCCUACAGUUGCUGGCGACCGGCAAACGGGUGCGGAACACGUACGCAGCCUACCCAAAACUGGGGGAUAGCCCGGGGAAACCCGGAUUAAUACCUCGUAACCUUUUUAAGUGGCAUCACUUGAUAAGUAUAGCUCCGGCGGUUUUGGAUGGGCGUGCGCCUGAUUAGGUAGUUGGUGCGGGUAACGGCCCACCAAGCCUGCGAUCAGUAACUGGUGUGAGAGCACGACCAGUCACACGGGCACUGAGACACGGGCCCGACUCCUACGGGAGGCAGCAGUAAGGAAUAGUGGUCAAUGGACGCAAGUCUGAACCAGCCAUGCCGCGUGAAGGAUGAAGGUCCUCUGGAUUGUAAACUUCUUUUAUGGGGGACGAAACCCGGAUAUUCUUAUCCGAUUGACGGUACCUCAGGAAUAAGCACCGGCUAACUCCGUG
RNAcentral lists this ribosomal RNA (489 nucleotides) under uncultured bacterium. RNAcentral describes it as "partial 16S ribosomal RNA". It matches the Rfam family "Bacterial small subunit ribosomal RNA", at positions 28 to 507 of the family's 1533-position model. The record is from RNAcentral.